Molecule: ribosomal RNA, 460 nt
Filed under: uncultured bacterium
Lineage: Bacteria
Description: partial 16S ribosomal RNA
Rfam family: Bacterial small subunit ribosomal RNA
Source: RNAcentral
CCUACGGGUGGCAGCAGUGAGGAAUAUUGGUCAAUGGACGCAAGCCUGAACCAGCCAUGCCGCGUGCAGGAAGAAGGCUCUAUGAUUUGUAAACUUCUUUUAUAUGAGAAUAAAGUCAGAAACGUGUUUCUUUUUGAAUGUAUCAUAUGAAUAAGCAUCGGCUAACUCCGUGCCAGCAGCCGCGGUAAUACGGAGGAUGCAAGCGUUAUCCGGAUUUAUUGGGUUUAAAGGGUGCGUAGGCGGUUGAUUAAGUCAGAGGUGAAAGUUUGUGGCUCAACUAUAAAAUUGCCGUUGAUACUGGUUGGCUAGAGUGUAUUUGCGGUAGGCGGAAUGCGUGGUGUAGCGGUGAAAUGCUUAGAGAUCACACAGAACUCCGAUUGCGAAGGCAGCUUACCAAGCUACAACUGACGCUGAGGCACGAAAGCGUGGGGAGCAAACAGGAUUAGAUACCCUGGUAGUC